Molecule: small RNA, 128 nt
Filed under: Salmonella enterica
Lineage: Bacteria; Pseudomonadati; Pseudomonadota; Gammaproteobacteria; Enterobacterales; Enterobacteriaceae
Also listed under: 3 other names
Description: partial RtT sRNA
Rfam family: RtT RNA
About the family: This family represents a bacterial cis-regulatory element known as RtT RNA. The exact function of RtT is unknown although it is thought that it may be involved in changing the cellular response in relation to amino acid starvation.
Source: RNAcentral
CGCAGGUUCGAAUCCUGCACGACCCACCAAUUUAACAUCAAACUCAGAUGUUGAACGUGAAGGAUAACGUUGCGUCAGCAACGGCCCGUAGGGCGAGGCGAAGCCGAGUCAUCCUGCACGACCCACCA